Molecule: long non-coding RNA, 2270 nt
Filed under: Mytilus galloprovincialis (Mediterranean mussel)
Lineage: Eukaryota; Metazoa; Mollusca; Bivalvia; Mytilida; Mytilidae
Source: RNAcentral
GCUUUAUUGAUAACAAUUUUGACAAUGUAGGAUUUCUUGGAUAGAAAAAUAUGAAAAUAACACAGUGUACAAAGUAUUCACUAAAUAUGUAAAUCAUUUACUUAGAAGUGCAUAAUUUGCCUGGAAAAUAUAUAUCUAUCACUAUAGUAAUAUUUGAAGAAAAAUAAUAAAAAGCAUCAUGGAAUGCAAAAGGAAGAGAUCUAAAAGCCCCAAAAAAUCUUCUGUAAUACAACAUACACACCCUUGUAAGUUUAUACAAGUUAAAACCUACAGAUUUUGAUGGGGUUUGUGUUGCUCAGUCCUUAAUAAUGAUCAUUGUUGGCUACUCUCUCUUUUUUUUCAAAUUUGUAAUAGUGUUGUCCUGUCUUUCUUAAACUUGUAGGUAUCUCCUUAACAUUUGGUAUGAAAUAAGAACCAAAAGUAUCAUAUAUUUCACUGGAACUGCAAAUAAUAUUCAAAACUAAAUAUUAAGAACAGAUUGAACAAAAAAAUCAGAGCUUUCCAAUCUAGUUAUAUCUACUUCAUAUUGUGCUGUUGUUGGCAUUAAACACCCCUUUCAGCACUCAGUUAUAAUGUUCCAGGCACCUUUUAUUGGUGGGGGAUGGCAGAGUACCUGAAAAAAAACACAGACCUUCAGCAGGAAAAAAAAUACCACUGAACGUACUCUGAAUACAGAAAUUAUUGCGUGCAUUUAUUAUUGCAAUUUUGUCAUUUCAGACUUAAAUGCGAUUUUAAUUUUUACGAUUUUGAGAAAAAUCCAAUUUAAUUCAUAUAAAAUAUUUCAAAAUGCAAGUUUAAAUUAUUGCGUUUACAACUCAGUCACAUUUUUCGUAAUAAUAAAAACCUCACAAUAAUUUCUAAAUUUACAGUAUAUCCCAUUGUUGACAGGCUGGUGAUAACUUGACGAUCUACUUAGACCACAUGGCCAUGGAAAUCCUUAAUUUUUUAAGCAUUCAAAGUUGUUGUGAAAGCAAGAAAAUCAAUUUCUGUCUGUAAUGAUUGUUUUUGAUUUACAAAAUAAAUAUCUAUUGAAAUGCAGAAAUUGCAGAUUGAUAGGAAAUAUUUACUAAAUAUUCUAUUUGAUACAAUUUUACAGAUUGGUCAACUAAUUUUUGAAUGGACAGUGUAAAAAGUGUAUAUCUGAUGUUUCUUGAAUAAAUUUUUACCAAUAUAAAAACAAGUGACAUUAUUUUGGGACCAGGAUAUGUAACUGAAAAUGACUAUAAGAAUAGUCCUGAAAAUGCUUCACAAACUGACAGGAAAAUCAACUGUUUAGGCCUGGUUUUUAUAUACUUUCCUUCAAAAGUUUGCGACUUAUCCAAAUUAAUAUAAUAUUACAAUCUGAAUACACAAUAAUCAAAGGCAGUAUAAAUCAAAUAAAACAUGUACUGAACCUCAAAGAUAAAAUUUACUUUUAUUAUCUAGAGAAAAUAUGACAAAGAUAGCACUUCUCAAAGACUUUGCUUUUUAGCAAGUUUUUAAAUGGUGAGGUAUAAUUGUUAUAGACUAAGAAAAUUAAUAUGUAAAAAAAACCGCUACAAGUUAACAAUGCUUCCAAUUUUCUUGUAAUAUUAUCUAAAGAACCUAAUAGCAUUUUUCAACCAUAAAAUCCCCAAAAAUGAAAACCUGGUAAUUGUUUAAGAGUGGUUUUACAGUGGUGGAUCCAGAACUUUUCAUAAGGGGGCCCCCUGACUGACCUAAAGGGGAUCCGUUCCAGUCAUGCUUCAGUGAUUCCCUAUAUAAUCAACCAAAUUUUUCCCAUCCACCUAUGUUUUAUCCAAGUUCAUAAGAACAAUGUUUUUUUAAAAGUGCAUCACAUUUCUCAAAAAUUUCAGUAUCAUAAAAUGCAAGAUAUAUUGAUUGUUAUUUAAUUCAAGGGGAAAAAUCUCAAUUAUAAAAUGUUUGAUCAAUCUAGUCUAAAACUUAUCCACUUUUAGGAUAACUGUGUUAUUGGACAGUAAAAUUGUUUUCAUAUAUAUAUAUAUCAUGUAUACAAACAACAUUGUUUUUUUGGGACAUAAUUAAAUCCUUAAAAGCUGCACAGCCAUUUUGUUUCAAAAUCGACUCACCCCAAGCUUACGUUAACUUGAUAAAAUAUUUUAACAUUCUGUUAAAGCUGUUUCUGCACUUUAAUUUUUAAAUAUCUAUGCAUAAAUUACUAGCAUUAAACCUUUUUAAUUUCAAUAUCAGAUUAUGACAACAUAAAACCAUACACCAAUCUGGAUUUGUUGCUAGAUUGAGAAAAUAAAUUGCUUACUGUAAAUAUUUGU